Molecule: ribosomal RNA, 496 nt
Filed under: uncultured bacterium
Lineage: Bacteria
Description: partial 16S ribosomal RNA
Rfam family: Bacterial small subunit ribosomal RNA
Source: RNAcentral
GAUGAACGCUGGCGGCGUGCCUAAUACAUGCAAGUCGAGCGAACAGAUAAGGAGCUUGCUCCUUUGACGUUAGCGGCGGACGGGUGAGUAACACGUGGGUAACCUACCUAUAAGACUGGGAUAACUUCGGGAAACCGGAGCUAAUACCGGAUAAUAUUUCGAACCGCAUGGUUCGAUAGUGAAAGAUGGUUUUGCUAUCACUUAUAGAUGGACCCGCGCCGUAUUAGCUAGUUGGUAAGGUAACGGCUUACCAAGGCGACGAUACGUAGCCGACCUGAGAGGGUGAUCGGCCACACUGGAACUGAGACACGGUCCAGACUCCUACGGGAGGCAGCAGUAGGGAAUCUUCCGCAAUGGGCGAAAGCCUGACGGAGCAACGCCGCGUGAGUGAUGAAGGUCUUCGGAUCGUAAAACUCUGUUAUUAGGGAAGAACAUACGUGUAAGUAACUGUGCACGUCUUGACGGUACCUAAUCAGAAAGCCACGGCGAACUACGU